ACAUGCAUACCUCAGACACAGCAAUAGUUGCCAUGUUGUAUCCACAAGCUAUUGAUGCUCAGCCUCAUUGUAGAAUGGUGAUGCUCUACUUCUCAUGAGAUAUAAAUUCAAUAUCUUCUGCUCCUUUGAAGUAUUUCCUUUGUUCACUUUCAGUGAUACUAUCUCUACUGUCUUCACAUACACUUAUUUACACUGCUUCUUUCUAAUCUUCUUGUGCUAGUUACUUUCUUCACUUUCUUUUUUAAUAUAAAUGACAUGUUUUCUUAAUGAACUUGUUUAUGAAAUCUCUUCAAAUCCAUUAAGAAGAGCUGAUGUGUCUGUGUGACGGGUUAGCACCCAUUAGUAGUUAACUUACACAACCACCUCAUGUAUCCACACAUACAUACAAUCCCACUGUAAGAGUGUUGACUACAGGUAUGAUUAGAAGAGUAGUGUGAAGUACACAC
This 446-nucleotide small RNA is filed under the name Histoplasma capsulatum var. duboisii H88. Its description in RNAcentral is "Histoplasma capsulatum H88 hypothetical RNA". The record is from RNAcentral. Lineage: Eukaryota; Fungi; Ascomycota; Eurotiomycetes; Onygenales; Ajellomycetaceae.